Molecule: small nucleolar RNA, 107 nt
Organism: Juglans microcarpa x Juglans regia
Lineage: Eukaryota; Viridiplantae; Streptophyta; Magnoliopsida; Fagales; Juglandaceae
Source: RefSeq, a predicted model, not a curated record
AAGUCGUGACGUGAACACUUGCGCAAUAAAUCUUUAUAUAUCUCCCUUGCCUCAUAUAAUGAUUCACCCUCAAUUUGGGUGAAAGUAGUAAUAUCAUUCAUUAACUU